RNAcentral lists this ribosomal RNA (253 nucleotides) under uncultured bacterium. RNAcentral's name for it is "partial 16S ribosomal RNA". It matches the Rfam family "Bacterial small subunit ribosomal RNA", at positions 524 to 776 of the family's 1533-position model. The record is from RNAcentral.
UACGUAGGGGGCUAGCGUUGUCCGGAAUCAUUGGGCGUAAAGCGCGCGUAGGCGGCCUCAUAAGUCCGUUGUGAAAGUCAAAGGCUCAACCUUUGAAAGCCGAUGGAUACUGUGAGGCUAGAGUCCGGAAGAGGCGAGUGGAAUUCCUGGUGUAGCGGUGGAAUGCGCAGAUAUCAGGAGGAACACCAAUAGCGAAGGCAGCUCGCUGGGACGGUACUGACGCUAAGGCGUGAAAGCGUGGGGAGCAAACAGG